This 310-nucleotide ribosomal RNA is filed under the name uncultured Chlorobiota bacterium. RNAcentral's name for it is "bacterial SSU rRNA". It matches the Rfam family "Bacterial small subunit ribosomal RNA", at positions 28 to 342 of the family's 1533-position model. Lineage: Bacteria; Pseudomonadati; Chlorobiota. The record is from RNAcentral.
GACGAACGCUGGCGGCGUGCCUAACACAUGCAAGUCAAAGGGAAGCAACUUCGGUUGUAAGUACUUGGCGCAAGGGUGAGUAAUGUAUAGGUAAUCUGCCCUUUGGACUGGGAUAACCCCGAGAAAUCGGGGACAAUACCAGAUGACGCAGCGGGACCGCAUGGUACUGUUGUUAAAGAUUUAUCGCUUCGGGAGGGGCCUAUGGCCUAUCAGCUAGUUGGUAAGGUAAAGCUUACCAAGGCUACAACGGGUAGCGGGCGUAAGAGCGUGACCCGCCUCACUGGGACUGAGACACUGCCCAGACUCCUAC